UAGGGAAUCUUCCACAAUGGGCGCAAGCCUGAUGGAGCAACACCGCGUGAGUGAAGAAGGGUUUCGGCUCGUAAAGCUCUGUUGUUAAAGAAGAACACGUAUGAGAGUAACUGUUCAUACGUUGACGGUAUUUAACCAGAAAGUCACGGCUAACUACGUGCCAGCAGCCGCGGUAAUACGUAGGUGGCAAGCGUUAUCCGGAUUUAUUGGGCGUAAAGAGAGUGCAGGCGGUUUUCUAAGUCUGAUGUGAAAGCCUUCGGCUUAACCGGAGAAGUACAUCGGAAACUGGAUAACUUGAGUGCAGAAGAGGGUAGUGGAACUCCAUGUGUAGCGGUGGAAUGCGUAGAUAUAUGGAAGAACACCAGUGGCGAAGGCGGCUACCUGGUCUGCAACUGACGCUGAGACUCGAAAGCAUGGGUAGCGAACAGGAUUAGAUACCCUGGUAGUCCAUGCCGUAACGAUGAGUGCUAGGUGUUGGAGGGUUUCCGCCCUUCAGUGCCGGAGCUAACGCAUUAAGCACUCCGCCUGGGGAGUACGACCGCAAGGUUG
This 549-nucleotide ribosomal RNA is filed under the name uncultured bacterium. RNAcentral describes it as "bacterial SSU rRNA". It matches the Rfam family "Bacterial small subunit ribosomal RNA", at positions 355 to 896 of the family's 1533-position model. The record is from RNAcentral.